RNAcentral lists this ribosomal RNA (495 nucleotides) under uncultured bacterium. RNAcentral describes it as "partial 16S ribosomal RNA". It matches the Rfam family "Bacterial small subunit ribosomal RNA", at positions 28 to 507 of the family's 1533-position model. The record is from RNAcentral.
GACGAACGCUGGCGGCGUGCCUAAUACAUGCAAGUAGAACGCUGAAGGAGGAGCUUGCUCUUCUGGAUGAGUUGCGAACGGGUGAGUAACGCGUAGGUAACCUGCCUGGUAGCGGGGGAUAACUAUUGGAAACGAUAGCUAAUACCGCAUAACAGUAGAUGUUGCAUGACAUUUACUUAAAAGUUGCAAUUGCAUCACUACCAGAUGGACCUGCGUUGUUUUAGCUAGGUGGUGGGGUAACGGCUCACCGAGGCGACGAUACAUAGCCGACCUGGGAGGGGGAUCUGCCACACUGGGGCGGGGACACGGCCCAAACUCCUACGGGAUGCAGCAGUGGGGAAUCUUCGGCCAUGGGCGGAAGUCUGAGCGAGAAACGCCGCGGGAGUGAAGAAGGUUGUCGGGUCGUAGAGCUCGGUUGUAAGGGAGGAACGAGUGUGAGAGUGGAAAGUUCACACUGUGACGGUAGCUUACCAGAAAGGGACGGCUAACUACGUG